Molecule: ribosomal RNA, 713 nt
Filed under: uncultured Bacteroidota bacterium
Lineage: Bacteria; Pseudomonadati; Bacteroidota
Description: bacterial SSU rRNA
Rfam family: Bacterial small subunit ribosomal RNA
Source: RNAcentral
GUCGAGGGGUAUAGUAGCAAUACUAGAGACCGGCGCACGGGUGCGUAACGCGUAUGCAAUCUACCUUUUGCAGAGGGAUAGCCCAGAGAAAUUUGGAUUAAUACCUCAUAGUAUAGCAACUUCGCAUGAAGUCACUAUUAAAGUCACAACGGCAAAAGAUGAGCAUGCGUCCCAUUAGCUAGUUGGUAAGGUAACGGCUUACCAAGGCGACGAUGGGUAGGGGUCCUGAGAGGGAGAUCCCCCACACUGGUACUGAGACACGGACCAGACUCCUACGGGAGGCAGCAGUGAGGAAUAUUGGUCAAUGGGCGCAAGCCUGAACCAGCCAUGCCGCGUGCAGGAUGACGGUCCUAUGGAUUGUAAACUGCUUUUGUACGGGAAGAAACCCUCCAACGUGUUGGAGCUUGACGGUACCGUAAGAAUAAGGAUCGGCUAACUCCGUGCCAGCAGCCGCGGUAAUACGGAGGAUCCAAGCGUUAUCCGGAAUCAUUGGGUUUAAAGGGUCCGUAGGCGGUUUUGUAAGUCAGUGGUGAAAGCCCAUCGCUCAACGGUGGAACGGCCAUUGAUACUGCAAGACUUGAAUUAUUAGGAAGUAACUAGAGUAUGUAGUGUAGCGGUGAAAUGCUUAGAGAUUACAUGGAAUACCAAUUGCGAAGGCAGGUUACUACUAAUGGAUUGACGCUGAUGGACGAAAGCGUGGGUAGCGAACAGGA